Molecule: transfer RNA, 77 nt
Filed under: Parabacteroides sp. AM08-6
Lineage: Bacteria; Pseudomonadati; Bacteroidota; Bacteroidia; Bacteroidales; Tannerellaceae
Also listed under: 1 other name
Description: tRNA-Met
Rfam family: tRNA
About the family: Transfer RNA (tRNA) molecules are approximately 80 nucleotides in length. Their secondary structure includes four short double-helical elements and three loops (D, anti-codon, and T loops).
Source: RNAcentral
GGUCCCAUAGCUCAGUUGGUUAGAGCACCUGACUCAUAAUCAGGGAGUCCUUGGUUCAAGCCCAAGUGGGACCACGA